This 504-nucleotide ribosomal RNA is filed under the name uncultured bacterium. Its description in RNAcentral is "partial 16S ribosomal RNA". It matches the Rfam family "Bacterial small subunit ribosomal RNA", at positions 30 to 523 of the family's 1533-position model. The record is from RNAcentral.
AUUGAACGCUGGCGGCAGGCCUAACACAUGCAAGUCGAACGGUAGCACAGAGAGCUUGCUCUCGGGUGACGAGUGGCGGACGGGUGAGUAAUGUCUGGGAAACUGCCCGAUGGAGGGGGAUAACUACUGGAAACGGUAGCUAAUACCGCAUAACGUCGCAAGACCAAAGUGGGGGACCUUCGGGCCUCACACCAUCGGAUGUGCCCAGAUGGGAUUAGCUAGGAGGUGGGGUAAUGGCUCACCUAGGCGACGAUCCCUAGCUGGUCUGAGAGGAUGACCAGCCACACUGGAACUGAGCCACGGUCCAGACUCCUACGGGAGGCAGCAGUGGGGAAUAUUGCACAAUGGGCGCAAGCCUGAUGCAGCCAUGCCGCGUGUAUGAAGAAGGCCUUCGGGUUGUAAAGUACUUUCAGCGGGGAGGAAGGCGGUGAAGUUAAUAACUUCACCGAUUGACGUUACCCGCAGAAGAAGCACCGGCUAACUCCGUGCCAGCCGCCGCAGUAA